This 253-nucleotide ribosomal RNA is filed under the name uncultured bacterium. Its description in RNAcentral is "partial 16S ribosomal RNA". It matches the Rfam family "Bacterial small subunit ribosomal RNA", at positions 524 to 776 of the family's 1533-position model. The record is from RNAcentral.
UACGGAGGAUGCAAGCGUUAUCCGGAUUCAUUGGGUUUAAAGGGUGCGUAGGCGGAAGAGUAAGUCAGUGGUGAAAUCCCCUCGCUUAACGAGGGAACUGCCGUUGAUACUGCUUUUCUUGAGUACAGUUGAUGUGGGCGGAAUGUGCUAUGUAGCGGUGAAAUGCUUAGAUAUGGCACAGAACACCUAUUGCGAAGGCAGCUCACAAAACUGAAACUGACGCUGAGGCACGAAAGCGUGGGGAUCAAACAGG